RNAcentral lists this ribosomal RNA (253 nucleotides) under uncultured bacterium. RNAcentral describes it as "partial 16S ribosomal RNA". It matches the Rfam family "Bacterial small subunit ribosomal RNA", at positions 524 to 776 of the family's 1533-position model. The record is from RNAcentral.
UACGUAGGUGGCAAGCGUUGUCCGGAAUUAUUGGGCGUAAAGCGCGCGCAGGCGGUCCUUUAAGUCUGCUGUGAAAGCCCACGGCUCAACCGUGGAGGGUCAUUGGAAACUGGGGGACUUGAGUGCAGAAGAGGAAAGUGGAAUUCCACGUGUAGCGGUGAAAUGCGUAGAGAUGUGGAGGAACACCAGUGGCGAAGGCGGCUUUCUGGUCUGUAACUGACGCUGAGGCGCGAAAGCGUGGGGAGCAAACAGG